CAGUAGCCACGGGAACACGGAUGGGGCUAGCGUUGUUCGGAAUUACUGGGCGUAAAGCGCACGUAGGCGGCUCGGUAAGUUAGAGGUGAAAGCCCAGGGCUCAACCCUGGAAUUGCCUUUAAGACUGCCGAGCUAGUAGGUGAGAGAGGUGAGUGGAAUUCCGAGUGUAGAGGUGAAAUUCGUAGAUAUUCGGAAGAACACCAGUGGCGAAGGCGGCUCACUGGCUCAUUCUAGACGCUGAGGUGCGAAAGCGUGGGGAGCAAACAGGAUUAGAUACCCCCGUAGUCCCUGUCUCUUAUAC
This 301-nucleotide ribosomal RNA is filed under the name uncultured bacterium. RNAcentral describes it as "partial 16S ribosomal RNA". It matches the Rfam family "Bacterial small subunit ribosomal RNA", at positions 509 to 807 of the family's 1533-position model. The record is from RNAcentral.